UAGUCCACGCCGUAAACGAUGAGAACUAGUUCUUGGAGGUAUUGACCCCUUCAGGGACGUAGCUAACGCGUUAAGUUCUCCGCCUGGGGAGUACGGUCGCAAGACUAAAACUCAAAGGAAUUGACGGGGGCCCGCACAAGCGGUGGAUUAUGUGGUCUAAUUCGAAGCAACGCGCAGAACCUUACCAACCCUUGACAUUUGUCGCCAACACCAGAGAUGGUGCGUUCUCUUCGGAGACGGCAGGACAGGUGCUGCAUGGCUGUCGUCAGCUCGUGUCGUGAGAUGUUCGGUUAAGUCCGGCAACGAGCGCAACCCACAUCCUUAGUUGCCAGCAUUUAGUUGGGCACUCUAGGGAAACUGCCCGUGAUAAGCGGGAGGAAGGUGUGGAUGACGUCAAGUCCUCAUGGCCCUUACGGGUUGGGCUACACACGUGCUACAAUGGUAGUGACAGUGAGUUAAUCUCCAAAAACUAUCUCAGUUCGGAUUGUCGUCUGCAACUCGACGGCAUG
RNAcentral lists this ribosomal RNA (509 nucleotides) under uncultured bacterium. RNAcentral describes it as "bacterial SSU rRNA". It matches the Rfam family "Bacterial small subunit ribosomal RNA", at positions 791 to 1322 of the family's 1533-position model. The record is from RNAcentral.